Molecule: long non-coding RNA, 253 nt
Organism: Acanthochromis polyacanthus (spiny chromis)
Lineage: Eukaryota; Metazoa; Chordata; Actinopteri; Pomacentridae
Exons: 2
Source: RefSeq, a predicted model, not a curated record
AGCUGAGGUGAUCGGAAGUACACAGCAUGACUUUGUGUUCUGAAAUUCUUAAAGUUGCUUCUGUUCCACCUGCAUAAAAGCGUGCAACUGACUCUCUUUAAAGACGCUCAUAUGGAUCCUGCUACUGUCUGAUGCUGCAGAUGAAGAGAAUUGAAGUGUGGAGUCGGCUUCAGUGACCAAAGCAGCCUUCAACGUACACAUGAAACACAAUUAAAUUCCUUUUGACAGUUAAUAAAGACACUUGAUUGGACAA